UGGGGGAUAUUGCACAAUGGGCGAAAGCCUGAUGCAGCGACGCCGCGUGGGGGAUGAAGGCUUUCGGGUUGUACACCUCUUUCGCUAUCGAACAAGGCCCGCUUAGGGUGGGUUGAGGGUAGGUGGAGAAGAAGCGCCGGCUAACUACGUGCCAGCAGCCGCGGUAAUACGUAGGGCGCGAGCGUUGUCCGGAAUUAUUGGGCGUAAAGGGCUUGUAGGCGGCUUGUUGCGCCUGCUGUGAAAACGCGGGGCUUAACUUCGCGCGUGCAGUGGGUACGGGCAGGCUUGAGUGUGGUAGGGGUGACUGGAAUUCCAGGUGUAGCGGUGGAAUGCGCAGAUAUCUGGAGGAACACCGAUGGCGAAGGCAGGUCACUGGGCCAUUACUGACGCUGAGGAGCGAAAGCAUGGGUAGCGAACAGG
This 420-nucleotide ribosomal RNA is filed under the name bacterium. RNAcentral describes it as "partial 16S ribosomal RNA". It matches the Rfam family "Bacterial small subunit ribosomal RNA", at positions 355 to 776 of the family's 1533-position model. The record is from RNAcentral.